RNAcentral lists this ribosomal RNA (354 nucleotides) under uncultured bacterium. Its description in RNAcentral is "partial 16S ribosomal RNA". It matches the Rfam family "Bacterial small subunit ribosomal RNA", at positions 338 to 709 of the family's 1533-position model. The record is from RNAcentral.
CCUACGGGAGGCAGCAGUAGGGAAUAUUGCUCAAUGGGGGAAACCCUGAAGCAGCGACGCCGCGUGAGGGAUGAAGGUUUUCGGAAUGUAAACCCCUUUUAGUAGGGAAGAAAAUGACGGUACCUGACGAAGAAGCACCGGCUAACUCCGUGCCAGCAGCCGCGGUAAUACGGAGGGGGCAAGCGUUACUCGGAAUCACUGGGCGUAAAGGGAGCGUAGGCGGGAGUGCAAGUCAGGAGUGAAAGGCGAGGGCUCAACCCUAGAACUGCAUUGGAAACUGUUCGUCUAGAGUGUGGGAGAGGUAGGUGGAAUUCGUGGUGUAGGGGUAAAAUGCGUAGAUAUUAAGAGGAACAC